RNAcentral lists this ribosomal RNA (505 nucleotides) under uncultured bacterium. Its description in RNAcentral is "partial 16S ribosomal RNA". It matches the Rfam family "Bacterial small subunit ribosomal RNA", at positions 28 to 507 of the family's 1533-position model. The record is from RNAcentral.
GACGAACGCUGGCGGCGUGCCUAAUACAUGCAAGUAGAACGCACAGUUUAUACCGUAGCUUGCUACACCAUAAACUGUGAGUUGCGAACGGGUGAGUAACGCGUAGGUAACCUGCCUGGUAGCGGGGGAUAACUAUUGGAAACGAUAGCUAAUACCGCAUAAUAUUGAUUAUUGCAUGAUAAUUGAUUGAAAGAUGCUAUUGCAUCACUACCAGAUGGACCUGCGUUGUAUUAGCUAGUAGGUGAGGUAACGGCUCACCUAGGCGACGAUACAUAGCCGACCUGAGAGGGUGAUCGGCCACACUGGGACUGAGACACGGCCCAGACUCCUACGGGAGGCAGCAGUAGGGAAUCUUCGGCAAUGGACGAAAGUCUGACCGAGCAACGCCGCGUGAGUGAAGAAGGUUUUCGGAUCGUAAAGCUCUGUUGUAAGAGAAGAACGGGUGUGAGAGUGGAAAGUUCAUACUGUGACGGUAGCUUACCAGAAAGGGACGGCUAACUACGUG